CUCGCAUUUUGUCAGUGCUCAGGCAGCUCCCAGUUUUGGCAGGCCGCCAUCCAGCUGCUGCCCGUGCUUCGCAUUGGCACAUCCAUUUCGGUUGGCACUGGGUCCUCGACCCUGUUCUGGUUUGAUAGGUGGCUUGGCGACACCCCCCUAGCCGUGCGUUUCCCAGGGCUCUUCGACAUCGCCGUUGACCCUCGGGUAUCUGUCGAGGUGGCCCUUAUUGACCUAGGACGCCUCGCUUUCCGCCGCCCCUUUGGCCCCCCUGAGGUUGCAGCUUGGGAUGUCCUUCUCCAGGACAUCGCCCUCCUUCCUAUGGACGUCGCCAACACCCCGGACGCCAUCUCCUGGCGUCUGGAACCCUCCGGCUGCUUCUCCACCAAAUCUCUCUACGCGGCCAUCGCCUCGACGGCCCCCGAGCCCUUCAGUUUGAUCUGGGACAUCCGCCUGCCCCUGAAGAUCAGGAUCUUCCUGUGGCAAUGGAUCCGCGGCCGCCUCCCAUCCGGCGUAGAGGUCCUUAAGCGUAAUGGACCUGGAGAUGGGAUGUGCCCCAUGUGCGGCACGGUAGAGGAUGCCAACCACAUCUUCUUCUCGUGCUCCACGGCACAGUUCCUUUGGUCCUGUUUCCGCGAAACGGUUGGGGGCCAGUGGUGCAACACCAACUUCCCUGAUCUGCUUGCGGAAAUUGAGGCUCCCCCCCCCCCCUCGCUAUAG
RNAcentral lists this ribosomal RNA (708 nucleotides) under Triticum aestivum (bread wheat). Its description in RNAcentral is "partial small subunit ribosomal RNA". Lineage: Eukaryota; Viridiplantae; Streptophyta; Magnoliopsida; Poales; Poaceae. The record is from RNAcentral.